CUAUAGUCAAUUGGUGUUGCACCUGCAGGUUGAGAGAAAUUGCUGGACUUAAGAGUUUUGCUGGGUAUUUGUUGAGAAUGAGAGUUUAUCUACUGGAAUUUCACUGAGAAUAUGGGAGGUGUUUUGCACUACAAGAUUUGACGGCUUCAUAGCUUGUAAAAUUUAAAGCAUUCGCUCGAGUUAACUUUUUUUUAUUACUUUGGAUGUGUUAAUUUUUGGAUACAAGUGUUUUUGGAUGAUGUUAUUAAUAUAAAGUGUUUUUAGACUUGAUAGAAUGUAUAAUCUAAAUUUUGGUUUAUAUUGAAUUUGUGAUUAAAUUCAUAUGCAGGAAUGCAUAAAUUAAAUUAAAAUAAUUCAGAAUUUAUUUUAAUAUAAAUUUAGAUCCUGUGACAAAAAAAUCAGUCAUAAAUUAUGUCACAAACAAAAUAAUUAAUGAUAAAAAAAUUCAAUCAUUAAUUCCAUCACAAACAAAAUAGUUUACCCACUAAAAUUAAUUGGAUAAUAAUUUAGGUGUAAAAAUUAUUUUCCCGCUAAAAUUUAAGAUAAAAUUUAAUUUUUGUGCCAAAAAAUUAAUUAAAAUAUUUAUUUUUUAAGAUGACAGACAUAUGACUUCGAAACACUAUCAUAAGUUAAUGACAUACUUUUUAUCUAUCACAAAAAAGUGACAGGUACAUAGAUAAUAGAUAAAUUCACUGUCAUCCACCUCCCUUUAUAAUAGUUUUUUUCAGUCAUCUAUUGCCGGUUUUCUUAUAAUAUAAAAUCUUAAAUUGUAUUAAUGUUUAAAAUAGUGUAAAAUCUUAAAUUGUAUUACUGUUUAAAAUAAAAGCUUAAUUCCUUUGGAAUAAAUUAUUCGGUCCCCUGUGAAUUAUUAUCUUAAAAUUGAAUUCGUUCUUGCAAAAUGAAAAUUUCUCUUCGACAUUGGUGGGCGGAAAACCUGAUCCCUUAAUCACUUAUUUUAAUUCUUUACAAUAGCCCAUCCAAUUGAUUCAUCCCCGGAGAAAACUUUCUCACAAAAGUUGGAUUGGAAUAUUUUAAUAUAACGUAUACCAUGAUUUAAGCUCUAACAAUUCAAUUAUUACAUGCACAAUCACUAUGGAGGUUUGAAACUGGAACUCAUAAGACAAAUUAAUGUUGACGACGAAUCGCUAUCCAACCAAAUAAAAUUUCAACGUUUGAUGUGCGUACAUUCUUGAAAUUGAAGAAAGAAUAACUCUCUAGGAGAGAAAUCGUCGAAUUAACGAUAAAGAUAAACUCAAAGAGAAUAAACCGAAAUAUUAUUGAUAAAAGAUUUAAAGGUGUUAUAAUAAACUAUCAAUAACCAGAUUAUUUUUACUAUUAGCUAAUUUAAUCCUAAUCAUUCUCAUCUAAGAGAAAUAAUUUGAAAUCCUAAUUAAAUUAGAAUUACAAAUACAAUCCAAAUAAGUAUAAUAAAACAAGUUAAAUUUAAUAAAAUACUAAAGAAUAAAUUAACUCAAAAUUUGGAAUUCCUAACUUAUUAUGUCCCAUAUGCUUCCUACAUCAAUCUCUACAUCUUCGAAAAGAACAUUCUCGAGUUUUGCUGAAAACAUAAAAUAAUGUGGAGGAUAAAAUUUAUAGUGAAGAAGUAAUUGAUCUUGUAACGUGAACUUGUAGCACUUUGCAUCAACUUUUCUUGAAAUUCGAAAGUACCAAAACUUCAAUUUCUUCUUAAUUUUGAGUAUGACUCUUCUAAAAUAUGCAAACUUGUAGGAACAAACCAUUAGAAUUUCCUUUUAACUUUCUCUAUGCUUUGCUCAAUGUAUUUUUCAUUCAAUUUCUCCUUCUGAGCUAAAUCUUCUUUAAGCACAAAUUUAUCUUCAAUGUAGAUAUGGAUAACCAUAUCAAUUAUAUCAGUUCUUCAAGAACAAUUUGCUUAGCUCCAUGAAUAAUUGAUAAAACUAUAUCAACUUUGUCACCUUCAAGAACAAUUGUUGUCUUUUCACCUAGAGCUUGUUGCACAGUUUUAACCAUAUCAUUAGACAUAAAACUCAAAUCAAGAAUGGAUUGUACCUCCUUAUUGGAAACUUCAUGUUUAUUUAGAAUCUUUUCAAAAGAAGAUUUUGUGACAUUCUUCUUUUCCAAUGAUGAAAUCGAUAAAACUUUAUCUUCCACAUUUAUACCUUCAACUUCAAAAUCUUGGAUAAAUUCUUUCUUUUUACUUAUUGCAAUAGUUGAAUCUUGAAUAAUCAAUAUAUCUUUAAUAACUUCUGUUUCAAGCACAACAUUUCUUUUUAUGUCCAAACUAUCAACCUCAAGAGUGAAACAAGGUUGCUCAAUAAUAGAAUCAUUCGGUGAUGAAAUUUUCACUAUAGGAUCUUGCUUCAAUGAAGAACUAUCUUAUUUUAGAACAAAUUUAUGGGACUCUUGAUCUUUCUGUCUUUGAUUGUCACCAUGCUCUUUCACUCGUUCAAAUCUCUUAAAUGCUUGCUUUCUCUCUUUCUUGAUCUGCAAUUCGACUUCAAAAGUAAUUUUAAUGACAUGCCAAUAUUCAUGAGUAUGAUCAAUUUGGAACAAACUCGUUCUUUAGUAUUAGCAUGUAAUUUUUUCACAAAUCUUGAAAUUGUAUUUCAUUAUCUUUAAAAAGAUUCACAUGACAACGAUAAUUUUGAAGUUGAGAUUCAUAAAAUCGAACAGAAUUUGUACCUUGUUGACGCUUAUCAAAUUUACGAUGGAUUGUUUGAAAAUAUUCAAGAGGUAAAAAAUAAGCUUUUAUCUUCCUUUUCAUAUUAUGCCAAGUUCAAAUCUUGUCUCUUCCAUUUAGAAGUCGUUUUGCUUGUAAAUUUGUCCACCAUUUUGAUGCAUGUCCUAGUAAUUUAACUAAAACAUACUCAACAUGUCUAUCCUAUAGAAUAUCUUCAAGAGUAUCUUCAAUUUUGAAAAUCUAAUUGAAAAUAUCCCAAGAAUUAGUUAAUCCAUCAUAAUAGAAAAAGAUCAUUGUCAUCUUCUCUAUAUCUCAAUGUACCACUUUUUUUUUUAAAUUUUCUCUUUUUUCUUUUUUUGUUUUGGGGUCUUUUAUAAGAACAGAAAAAUUAAAAGGAUAGUAAUGUAAUUAAAAAAAAAUAUUAGGCAAAACUUAUAAAUAAGUAAAAUAUGAAUUUACCGGCGAUGAUGAUUGGGAAAGGAACGGUAUAUCUAGAAGAGUUGAUGAUGGUGAGUGUGAUGGUGGUGGUGGUUUGACUCGGAUCAUGAUAGUUGAUCAGAAAAUUGAAGUGAUUGGAGGUAUGUUUUGGUUUUCGGUGAGUGGGGUGCGGUUGGCAGAGGGAUUUGGUUGAAAAAAGAGGUCUGAUGAAGGGAAGUAAUUUGGUUCUGGUGGUGGCUGGUAAAUGGGAUGGACAACAUCGAAACGAGAAGUGUUUGGUGUGGCAUUUUAACGACUCUUUUGGGUAGUUUUCAGCGGCUGAAAUGGUGGAUUGAUGGUUCUUGAUGGGUGGGAUUUGGUCGGUGACGUGAGUACAUUCAGAUGGGGUGAGGAUCUUCGCGAAAAGAAGAAGGACGCCAAAGGCAACAGCCUUGCGCGUUGGCUGUGAAGGUGGCUUCGAGUUUUGCUGUUUUUUCUUUUUUCACUUGGUGGAAUUAAUGGAUAAGGAGGGAAGGAUUUGAGUAUAGAAGGCGGUUGAUGGUUAAGAAAGCUCUGCUUAGAAUAGAGAAAGACUCUGAUAGGCAGUGUGAAAGUGAUAUUAGAUCUUGUUCUACUACGUUCUUGAAACUUAAGAAAGAAUAAAUCUUAAGGAGAGAAACCGUCGAAUUAACAAUAAAGAUAAAUUUAAAGGGAAUAAUCUGAAAUAUUGUUGAUGAAAAGUGUAAAGGUGUUACAAUAAAUUAUUAAUAACAACCCUAUUUAUGCUAGUAACUAACUUAAUCCUAAUCCUUCUCAAAUAAUUAAAAUAAUCUAAAAUCUUAAUUAAACUAGAAUUACAAAUACGACUUAAAUAAGCAUAAUAAAACAAGAUAAAUACUAAUAAAAUACUAAAUAUUAAAUUGACCCAAAAUUUAGAAUUCCUAAUUUAUUUUACCCUAUAUACUUCAUACUUUAAUAUUACAGAAAUCAUGAAAUACUUUCUAAACUCAGUCAUUGACUAACCAUUGGCUAAAUUAUUGUGAAUAUGAGGAGAAUUUGGACUUGAAAUGAUAAUGGACUGUCUUUCUUAAUUUCUUUGGUGAGUCUCUAUAUUACGGGAUUGUGCGAGGCGUUUCAGUUGUAAGUCUUUUGGAAGAGCAAUAUAGAUUGUCAUUUUUGUUUUCCAGUGAUUUGUUACUCGCCAUGUUGAUGCAAGAUUGAGUUGGUGUGUUGAUUUCAAAUUGGUACGUGACUCGUGUGGCUACUUGUGCUUUAUGUGUUGUGACUGUUUGAAUUUCGCAGUGGUGGGCAUUGUAUCUUAACAUAAUGCAACAAGCUCAAUAGCCCAACAAUAUGAAGUAUUUAUUACUACACCUAUCUGUACAUAAAAUUGUUAUUUAUAAUGUACAAAUGGAUUCGAAUCCUUCUUAUUUUUUCUCUCUUUACCUCUUCUUUUCUUCGUAAUCUAGUGGAAAUAAACUAGCUUGAUUAUAAAUAAAUUAAAAAAAUAUAUAUAGAGGUAAGAAGAAACUAAAAAAUAAAGAGAAGAUCCUUAUCCAUUCAAAUAUGGCAGCAUUAAAUGGCAUUUUCGGUAAUGGAAGCUUGAACUUAAAGCUCAUCAGUAUCUAGUAUUUGUGUGAUCAUUGGGUUAAUCUGGGGAGAAAGCAAAAUAAAAACUAAAACAAGGACAAGAUAUAUGAUAAAUUAAUUUUUUAAUCUAAAUUGGAAAAUUUUGAUCAAUUGACCUUAGAGCUGGUGGCCUUUUCAAAUUUUUUGCCAACAGUUCUAUAUGCUUAAAUGAAAAUGCUAUUGAUAAAAGAAACUAAAUUCCCAUUAAUUUUCCUUAAAAACAUUUUAAAGAAAAUCAUUCAUCAAAUCAUAAUGUUGAAAAAUUAAAGAAUUUUAGUGAAUGUAAAGUAUAAAUUUAAAUGAAUUCUAGCUUCAUUAGAGUACUAGAAUGAAAAUGCAUGUCACCUAUUUUAAUAAUAUUUUGAGUUUUGUUUCUUUUAAAAGGGUUAAGCAAGACCCCUUUAUCUAUCUAUUAAAAUAAAAAUGAAAAUAAAAACAUUUGGUAGACCAAAACCCGCAAGCCAAAAAAUAACCAACAAAAGAAAAAUAGCAAAAGCAAAUAAAAGAAACAAAGAAUAAACAAGAGAACAACCUAAGGCAAACCUAAUAAAAUAAACCAUAUGAAGGUGAGCUAACUCCUAGAAUACCGUUUACUAUAGUACUUGCGUCCAAUGACUAACUAAAAGCACUUUUUUGAACCUGAGGCACGAGGCUAGUAACACUAAAGUCGGGGCUAAGAUCACAUUCCAUAGUACCCUCAAGCUCAGAUAAAAAGUAUUCAUUAGCUAUAAUGAGAAAGAAUAUCUAGAGAGUGGGAAUUGAAACCUAUAGCCAUUGUGCGAAUAUUAUCCACUGCAGAUUAGAAAACAUAGAGCCCAUGGAUAUCCUGUGAGCACCCAAAUCAUCCAAAAUCAUAUCAUCACCAUCAUUAGUCAUAUUAACUAGGAUCUGCAAAAAAGAAUCACCGCGAUCCCAAGGCUUAACAACUAGAUCAGACUGAAUAGGAAUGGCAAUAUCAUCAAUAAUAAGAUCAUUAGUAAAAAUUAGAAUGAGGCCACUUGGCCAACUAAAUCCACAUCAUCAUCUCGAGCAUCAGAAAUAGGGAUUCUAGCAUCUUGAAAUGCACUUGCAGUAACAUCGGGCCAUAAAGGCUGAACCACCCCAUGAAAAAUAGGCUGCUAAGUCAAACCAAAAAAUUGUCCUUAAACAAAAGAAGGCUAAGCAAUAGGCCCCCCAUGUUGAUUAUCUACAACAACAACAUAUUGAGGAACAAUAGGAACCUAAGGCUGAACAUCUAUAACAGACAUAAAUUGCUUACCUUUAUCUCUAGUAUCUUUACCCUGAGGUUUAUUAAUAGGUUGUUGAGGCUUUUGAAGCCCAAAAUUACUACAUAGCAACCAUUUGCAUAAUGACCAAAGUGCUUAUACAAAACACAAUAAGAAACAACCUAUUCAAAAAUCAUACCCAAAGUCAGAAUCACCUUCACUAAUCCAAAGGCAAGGUAAAAAAUGUCACGAAACAUCAUUUUCUAUCAAAACUGUAGCAAAUGAAAGCCUAUUAAUAGAACCAAUAGCAUGGUCAACGCGUAAAGUUUUCCCUAUCACAGCAACGAUUAAACAUGAUGCUUCUUUGCAAUGAAUAAAGUGAAUAGGUAAAUACAGCAAAGAAACCCAAAUAGAAACCACAAGGGACUCCUUAGAACAAUAAAUGGUAGUGGACCAUUUAAAGAUCCUCAUAGCUUUACAACUGAUAUAUCAUGUCUGCCUAACCCAAAUUUCUGGGAUAGUCUUCCUCUAACUGAAGCUUUCUUAAAACAUGUCAUUUAUCAAGCAAGGUGCUUGAGUACUGCUUUUUGAGCCAAGGAGAAAAGAGAACUUACCCACCAGAGACAGCUUGAAUGGUUUAGCCAUGGUCGAAACCUCAGCAACUAUAAAAUGAAUAGCAGGUUCGCCUCGAUGAAAGAUGCCCAUAUUAACAAAUAAAGAUAGCCAAUACGAACCUACAACAAUAUCAACAAAGGAUUUAAAGGGCCUAGAGGCAACAUUAGGGUCAAGGAUGGACAUUGGAUUGACUGCAGAAGCAUAUAAUAACUUAGGGAUAGUAGAAGAGUAAUAGGUAGAAGGAUUUGUGCUGGUGGUCAAGCUUAGGUGGGCCCAUAAAUAGGUUGCACACUAUCAGUGUUUGUUUUGUCACGAUCUAAGGUUUGAGAUAGAUUGUGAGCAUGCAUUUGCAAAGAGGCAGUGGCUUGUUUGUGAUUAAUGGUCAUUAAAAACAUUAGAGGCGGUUGGGCAGGAUUAAGAAGGGCCAAUCCAAUGAGGGAUGCAGCAGCUGUUGGUGAUGAGUGGCAAUGAUAGAAGGCAACAAAGUCAAUGGAAGCAACUGUUGGUGAUGAGACGCAUACGACUGGCUAGGGUUUGACGCACGCGUGUGUGAAAGAGACACGAUCAGUGGGAUUUGGUAAGGGUGAUGGCUAUGAGGCAGUUGUAGGGUGGCAUGGAAGGGAUUAAAUCAUCACUAAGGAUGGUGGGGGUGGGGGGGGGGGGGGGGCGACGACAUGAGAAGGAAAGCGAGCAAUGGUUGGCAACAUUGCAAGGCCAAAAACGGCCACCAAAAGGAGUUGUGUGUGGUGAAAGGCCUUCCGGCUAGUUGCAUGGUGGUCGGUGGUGAGGGGUGGUGCUGACAGUGUCUUGUCGCCACCAUCGGCAGCCGGUGAGGCCAUACCAGCAACAAGAAAGUAAAAGGAGUGUGGCGGCUAUAUGAAUUGGGGUUUCAUCGUUUUAUCUUUUUUUGUGUAUUAAACUAUCUGGUAUUUGAUGAGCAUAUAAUAUGUACAUAUUUUUACGCUUAAUUAUAUGAUUGAUAGUUAUUUUUAUAUGUUAUUUUUAAUUAAUUGAAUUAUUUUGUUAAAUAGGAAAUUAAUUGGAGAUUAUGGAUAAAAAAGGCAUGAAGAAGUUUAAUUUGGGAAGUAAUGAAGAUUAGAUUGGAAAUUAAUUGGAAGACAAGAAAACCAAAAGCGGAAGUCAAUCUCUUCAAAUAAUGAAUGGUGGACAUGCAUUUAGAAAACAAAGAUUUGGUGAUGGCAAUUGCACAUGCAUGGCUUUACAAUUUUGGAAAGGAAUUUAAAGGAACCCUUAGAGCUUCCAAUUUAAAAAAAGGGAAACAAACUUAUGGCUUAUGGCGUUGACAAGUAAUGGUGGCAUUAAUUGGGAAAAUUGACUUUAGAUUGGAAAUUGGAUCCAGCCAACAAAGUGUACAAGAUUUGGCCAAUAAUUGCAUGGUCCUGGGCAUUAUAUGAUGGUAAGCUAGAAACUAAAAAAAGGACGCAAGGAGAGACAAGAGACAAAGAGAAGAGAAGGGCUGCAGCAAUUUAAUUCUCCAUGGCUGGUUUUAUUUAUUUUGUUGCUCCCAAUUCAAGUGUAUUUAACUAAUUUUCUUAUAUUAAGGUUAAGGAUAAAAUCUUAUUCAAUGAAAUAAUCAUCUUUAUAUUCAAUUAAUUCCCUACAUAUGUGCUUUAAUGCUUAUAGUUCUUGUUUCACAUGAUUAGUUAGAUGUUAUUAAAUUCUUUUAACCAAUUCUAUCAUGCAUUAUUGAUUGUCAGGAUUAAUAUUUGACUAAAUCUAUGCUUAGAUCUAUAAAGUUUAUAUAUGAUUAUCUUUGAUUCUGUGUCUUUCAUUAAAUUAUUUACACAGAGUGCUUAGGAAGAUUUUGACUCUUUGUUAUUUAUUAUGUUUACAUAAGAUGCUUAGAUAUCAUACUAUUAAGCAGAAAAAGAACCUACAUAAGAUUAAUUUUAAUUGGUCUUAAUUGUUAUAUUCAUGAGAUGACAUGUAUUGAUUUCGAGUUGUCACUCUAAAAUUGAGGAUUAAUUAACAAUUAGAUAAUUACUAGUUGAAUGGUGGUGGAUUCUGAAACCUUGGUAAUUUUUUUCUUAUUGGAUUCUCCUUUGCUUUAAUUGUUUUCUUAUUUUAAUUAGUUUUAUUUCUCUUAAAAACUCAAUUUGCUCAACUAGGUUAGGAUUAAUAUUAAUUUUAGAUUUAAAUUAGACUUUUCAAUUUAUAACAAUCCCUGUGGGUUCGAUCUCGUUAUCACUAUUGUAUUUCUAGAUUUGUGCGCUUGCGAGUAUAUUAAAAAUUUUUACAAUAAAUUUUUGGCGCCAUUGCCGGGGAUUGUGCUAGAAAGUCAGUUUAAUUUAGGUUGAUUUGAUUAUUCCACUAGUUAUAAUUUAGGUUGACUUUUAUUUUUAUUAAAAAAACACAAAAAAGAAUUUAAAAUUUUACUUUGAAUUCAUUGUUUGGUUGUUUGAUUUCUUUUAUUUUAAAUUUCGUUUAUUUUUCAUGGUUAUUGGUUAAUUUUUUUCUUUGUCUAGUUAGUUUAUGAGUGUUUGGGAAUGCGAUUCAACAAAUCGUUUGGUAAAAAAAGAGUCUAGAAUUGAGAGUAAUCAAGCUAGUUCUUCUCAAGUGAUGGAUGUCCCAAAUAGAAUAUUGCCAGUACUACCACCAGUGCAAGCAGAGAAAACCCUUAGAGAAUAUUUUUCACCACUUGCAGUCAACCAACCAUCUUGUAUUGUGCUGCCACAAACGACAGCAACACACUUUGAGCUCAAGCCCUUUGUCAUUCAGCUUUUACCAUCUAUCCAUGGGUUAGAGAGAGAGGAUCCAUAUUUGCACAUUAAGGAAUUUCUUGACAUAUGCUCUACAUUUUGUUUUCAAAAUUUUAAUGAUGAGUCAAUUAGGCUUCGUAUGUUCUCUUUCUCAUUAAAAGACAAAGUGAAAGCUUGGUUGAAAUUACUUCCUACUAGGUCUAUUACUACGUGGGAUAAAUUGAUUAAUAAGUUCCUUACCAAGUUUUUCCGUAUGUCUAAAACAAAUACCCUUAGGUGAGAGAUAAGUGAGUUUUAUCAAAGAGUGGGUGAGCAAUUUUAUGAGUGUUGGGAAAGAUUUAUUGAUUUACUCUUUAAGUGUCCCCACCAUAGUUUUGAGAAAUGGAGACUUAUACAAUGCUUUUAUAAUGGUUCAAGUAUGUCAAAUUAUCAUAUGGCAGAGUUUAUGAAUGGUGAGAGAUUUUUAAACCUACAUGAAGAGGCUGCAUGAGAUUUCUUUAAUUCACUUUAUGAGAAUUCUCAAUAGUGGGAUUAUUCAAAUCAAAGAGAAAAAUCAUCUCAAGUUUCACAAAAGAGUCUUUAUGAAGUUAGUGAUGAUUUUGAUGUGAAAGCUACUCUAACUACACUUUCUAGGAAAAUAAAUGCCUUAGCUAUGAACCAAUCCAUGAGUCAUCACCCUAGUGUAGCUAAUGAGGUUUGUGCUAUUUGUUCCAACCUAUCUCAUACAACACAAAAUUGUCCAUCAUUACUAGCCUAUCAAGAGGCUUAUUCUGAGCAGGUACAUGCCUUACAAUCAUAUUAUAAAACCUCUAAUAGUCCAUAUUCACCUACAUAUAGUUCUAAUUGGAGGAAUCACCCUAAUUUUUCUUGGAAAGAAAAUCAACUUUUAUCAAACUAAGGAGGGCAACAAUUUAGCAUGCCCAAUCAACAAUUUUUCCCUCAUAACCAAGUAUAUCCUCUUGCCCAACAACCUAUGUCUCAAUUUGUUGCAACCCAACAAAGAAAACCUUCUUUAGAGAAACACUUCAAAAUUUCAUUCAGUCUACCCAACAAGCCUUUCAGUCAAACACUCAAGUUAUUCUAAAGCUUCAAUAUUAAUUGGGUAAAUUAGCAACGACUGCAGUUGAGAGAGAAAAAGGAAAAUUCCCAAGUCAACCAAUUCCUAAUCCUAACGAAGUGCAUAAAGUUGGAUCGAGUUCAAGCCAUCAGCAUGAAGAAACAAAAUCUAUUAUGACAUUGAGAAGAGGAAAAUUAUUUGACAACAAGGUGGAGGUUCGAACAAGAAAAAUAUUAGAACCUACUUCUGCAAAUCCAGUUCCAUCACAAGACACAUCACCGGAUGAUCCAGAAGAAAGUGGCCCACCAGCUUACAUUCCUGAGGCUCAUUUUCCUCAAAGGUUAGCAAAGAUAAAUAAAGGGACUUCAACAAGUGAGAUUAUCAAAAUCUUCAAGCAGGUUAGUAUAAACAUCCAUUUACUCGAUACUAUUAAGCAAGUUCCCUCCUAUGCCAGGUUUUUGAAGAAUUUAUUCACUAAAAAGAGAAAUUUGCAUGUCACCAAAAAUACAUUUUUAACUGAACAAACUAGCAAUUUACUUCAAUGUAAAAUGCCACCAAAAUUUAAGGAUCUGGGUUCCCCUACUAUCUCAUAUGUUAUAGGGAACCAAUUUUUUGAUAAAGCACUAUUGGAUUUAGGAACUAGUGUUAAUCACUUACCUUAUUUUGUUUACAUGCAACUUCGACUAGGUGAAUUAAAGUCAAUUUCCAUUAUUUUACAACUUGUUGAUAAGUUAAUGAAAAUACCUCGUAAUAUUAUAAAGGAUGUGUUGAUACAGAUUGACAAAUUUUAUUAUCUACAGUUGAUGAUAGUGUAAUUGCAGAAGUCAAUGCCUUACUCGAUGCAACUCCAAUUAUGGACACAACUGAAUGGAAGAUAAAGCCAAAACCACUGUCUCAUUCUGAGAAGAAGAUUAGCCCAUCUGUGGAGACACCACCAAAAUUGGAGCUCAAAGCACUGCCCGACACUCUAGAGUAUGCAUUUUUAGGAGAAUUUGACACCCUACCUGUUAUUAUUUCUUCUUCCCUCGAUCUUGAGCAAAAAAAGUAAGUUCUUGGGUAUUCUAAAAGAGCAUAAGGAGGCAAUAGGACGGACCAUUGCUGAUAUUAAAGGUAUUAAUCCAGUAGAUUGCAUGCUUCAUAUUUAUCUUAAAGAAAAUGCUAAGCCUAUUAGGGAGAUGCAACGUAGGCUAAAUCCUAACAUGAAAGAAGUGGUAAGAGCUAAAGUAAUUAAAUUAUUAGAUGCAAGAAUUAUUUAUCCUAUUUCAGGUAGCUCUUGGGUUAGCCCUGUGCAAAUUGUUCUUAAGAAAUCUGUUGUUACGGUAGUUAGUAAUGCUAAUAAUGAAUUAAUUCCCACUGGAGUAAUUACAAGUUGGCGUGUUUGCAUUGAUUAUAGAAAAUUGAACUCAAUCCUAAGAAAAUAUCAUUUUUCUUUUUCAUUUAUUGAUCAAAUGCUUGAUAGACUGACAGGUCAUGACUUUUAUUGUUUUCUAGAUGGAUAUUCAGGUUAUAAUCAGAUCCCUAUAGCUCUAGAGGACUAGGAGAAAACUACUUUUACUUGCCCUUUGGAACUUUUGCAUAUAAGAGAAUGUCAUUUGGUUUAUGCAAUGCACAUGUUACCUUUUAAAGAUGCAUGCUUAGUAUUUUUUCUGACAUGGUUGAGAGAUUUCUUGAUGUUUUUAUGGAUGAUUUUUCUAUUUAUGAAGAUUCUUUUGAUGAAUGUUGGCAGCAUCUAACAUUGGUUUUGCAGAGAUGUAAAGAAAAGAACUUAGUUUUAAAUUGGGAAAAGUGUCACUUCAUGAUAAAAUAAGGUAUUGUUCUUGGUCAUAUAAUUUCCAGCAGAGGUAUAGAAGUUGAUAGAGUCAAGGUAGAUUUAAUUUCUAAUCUUCACCUCCCAAAUCCGUAAAAGAAGUAAGAUAUUUUCUUGAACAUGUUGGUUUUUAUAGAAGAUUCAUUAAAGAUUUUAGUAAAAUUUCUAGACCCUUAUGCAAUUUACUUGUUAAGGAUGCACCUUUUAUCUUUGAUGAUUCUUGUCUUGAUGCUUUUAAAAAAACUUAAGAAAUUGUUGACUUCUUCACCUAUCAUUCAGCGACCUAAUUGAGAUUUGCCUUUUGAAAUUUUACGUGAUGCAUAUGAUUACACUGUAAGAGCAGUUUUAGGACAAAAAUUAGAUCGUGUGCCUUAUGUCAAUUAUUAUGCUAGUAUGACACUCAACGAUGCACAGUUGAACUAUUUAACUACAGAAAAAGAAAUGCUAACUGUGGUGUUUGCUCUAGAUAAAUUUAGAUCUUAUCUUAUAGGUUAUAAAAUGAUUAUUUUUACUGAUCUUGCUGCUUUGAAAUAUUUGCUCACUAAGAAAGAUGCUAAGGCAAGAUUGAUUCGUUGAGUCUUACUUUCACAGGAAUUUGAUAUUAAAUUUAGAGAUAAAAAGGGUUCUGAAAAUGCGGUGGCAGAUCAUUUAUCUCGCCUUGAUCUUCAAUUUAUCUCAGAAUCCUUACCUUUGAAUGAGGGUUUCCUAGAUGAACAACUUAUGAGUGUAAAUGUUGUACCAUUGUUUGCUGAUAUAGUUAAUUACCUUACUACUAGUCAAAUCCCAGAACACUGGACCAAGUAAGAUAGAACAAAGUUCUUAUUCGAAGUGAAGAAUUUCUUUUACGAUGAUCCUUAUUUAUUUAAAUAUUGUGUUGAUCAGAUUAUUAGGAGAUGUGUUCCAGAGAAUGAAAUUCAAAGUGUCAUCUCUUUUUGCCAUGAACAAGCUUGUGAAUGCCACUUUGGUGCUAAAAAGAGAGCAAUAAAAAUUUUAUAGUGUGGUUUUUAUUGCCCUACUCUUUUUCAUGACGCUUAUGUUUUUUGUUCUUUAUGUGACAAGUGCCAACGCAUGAGUAGCAUUUCAAAGAGGAAUAUGAUGCCACUCAAUCUUAUUCUAGUAGUUGAGAUUUUUGAUGUGUGGGGUAUUGAUAUUAUAGGACAUUUUCCUCAAUCUUUUGGUUAUCAGUAUAUAUUGGUUGCAGUUGAUUAUGUGUCGAAGUGGGUUGAAGUUGUUCCAUGCAAAACCAAUGAUCAUAGGGUUGUAGUGAAGUUCGUAUAAAGUAAUAUCUUAUCUCAUUUUGGUUUCCCUAGAACAAUAAUUGGUGAUGGUAGUACCAUUUUUUGCAAUAAACCUUUCAAAACUCUUUUAGACAAAUAUUUCAUUACACACAAGGUUGCCACCCCAUACCAUCUUCAAACCAGUGGCCAAGUAGAGAUAUCUAAUAGAGAGAUCAAGCAAAUUUUGGAAAAAACAGUUAGGCCAGAUAGAAAUGAUUGGUCUUUGAGACUUGAUGAUGCAUUAUAGGCAUACAAGACUACGUUCAAAACACCAUUUGGGAUGUCACCUUAUUGACUUGUGUAUGGAAAAUCAUGUUAUCUACCAGUAGAACUGAAGCUUCGUGCAUAUUGGGCUAUCAAGAAAUUCAAUUUUGACAUGCAACAGGCUGGUUCCAAGAGAAGAUUACAACUAGCAGAACUUGAACAGAUCAAGAAUAAUGCUUAUGAGAAUGCUAAGAUUUGCAAGCAUCGAAUGAAAGUCUUUCAUGAAAAGUACAUUUUGAGAAAAUCCUUUGCAUCAGGUCAGAAAGUACUUUUAUACAAUUCUCGAUCUCUUUCCAGGUAAGUUACGUUCUCGAUGGUUUGGUCUUUUUAUAGUUCAUACUGUCUUCCCUUAUGGAGCAGUUGAGAUUGAAAAUCCUAAAAAUGGUGAUUUAUUUAAAGUCAAUAGUCAAAGAUUAAAACUAUUUUUAGAGUUAAAAACACUAGAAGUUGAGGAGAUACUUUUAGAUGACCAUGUUUAUCAGGAUUAAUUAAUCCCAUCUUUACGUUCUUGUUUUAUUUAAAUAGUAGGUUUUCUUUUCAUUUUUUUUGUUUUUCUUUUCUAGUAUUUUUCUUUUCUAACGUUUUCUUUUUAUUUCUCAUUUUGUUUUAAGCUUCCCCAACCUAUUCAGGUGUGAUCUCUCCAACUUUUUCUUUUAUUAUUUAUGUUAAAUCUUUUCCAUUUUUGCAUGCGUAUCUUUUAUUUAUUAAAAAUUGAGGACAAUGUUCCGAAUAAGUUUGGUGGUGGGAAUAGUGUGUGUCUUUUUUUAUUUAAAAAAUUCAAAAAAUUCAAAAAAAAAUUGUUUGUUUUUACGUGAAAAGCGAAUGAUAAGAACUUGACUGACAAUUAAUAUGAUUAUUAGAAAUGGUUGAAUAUUGUCUUAGUUUGUAGGUUCUUGUGUUAAUUCCUCUUAAUUGAGAUUCUUUAAACUCUAUGCGCACUAAUAUUAAUUCUUUCUUAAUUUUAACUAAUAUGAGAUUGAAGCAGCCUGAGUUGAAAAUUUUAUUUAGAGUAAAUGACUGUUUGUCUUGAUUCUUAUCUUCACAAUACAAAAUAGUAUACACAGGCACCAAAGUAAAAAAUAGCUACCUUGAGAAUGAAGCUGUCAUUGAGUAAUUUGGGCCCAUGUGCCACCAAUUUGUAGAGGAUAAUCUACCAUGAGAAGAAGGCUACCUUAAGGGGUAGAGUGAAAGUUUCUAACUAUGGUUAAAAAAAAGAAAAAGAAAAAAAGAAAAAAAUCAAGUGCAUGUGCUGAAAUGAAAAAAAAAAUCAAAAGAAAAUGCAUCUAGAAGUCUGUGAAAAAAAAAAUGGAGAUCAAGAUACUAAGAUUAGUUUGACCUACUCUUUUCUUUGUUCAAGGCGAAAGCUGUUGAUAUUGAAGAUUUUGAGAAUGGUUUUUAAUUGAAUUGAUUCACACACACACUACAAGAAUCAAAAGAGAGAUGAGAUUGACUAUUGAAUCAAAGUUAGAACUUUGCCAUUAUUUGAAAUUUUCUUUGAGCUAUAUAAUUUAUGCAAUCUUUGAGGAUAUUUUUAUGUUUUAUUUAAAGUUUUUUAUUUUAUUUUAUUUUUAAAAUGAUGUUUAUUGGUAUAAUCAUUGAAGCCCUCACGAGACUAUAAAUAACUCGUCCACUACGGCCGCCUAAAGGUUUAAAAGCUUGUUGUAUACGCUAAAUGCAAUCGCGAUUGCCUGCGAAAGUGGUUUAGUUAGGAUUUACUUUUCGUUAUUUUUAUUUUUGUUUUCAAUUUUAGUUUUGCUCAAGGACUAGCAAAAUUUAAGUUUGGGGAGCAUAUAAUAUAUACUUAUUUUACCCUUAAUUAUAUGAUUACUAGUUAUUUUUAUUUAUUAUUUUUAAUUAAUUGAAUUAUUUUGUUGAAUAGGGAAUUAAUUGGAGAUUAUGGAUAAAAAAGGUCUGAAGAAGUUUAAUUUGGGAAGUAAUGAAGAUUAAAUUGGAAAUUAAUUGGAAGCCAAGAAAACCAAAAGCUGAAGUCAAUCUUUUCAAAUAAUGAAUGGUGGACAUGCAUUUAGAAAACAAAGAUUUGGUGAUGGCAAUUGCACAUGCAUGGCUUUACAAUUUUGGAAAGCAAUUUAAAGGAACCCGUGAGCUUCCAAUUUAAAAAAGGGGAAACAAACUUAUGGCUUAUGAUGUUGACAAGUAAUAGUGGCAUUAAUUGGGAAAAUUGACUUUAGAUUGGAAAUUGAAUCCAAAUUGGAUCCAGCCAAUAAAGUGUACGGGAUUUAGCCAAUAAUUGCAUGGUCCUGGGCAUUAAUAAUGGCAAGCUAGAAACUAAAAAAAGGACGCAAGGAGAGACACAAGACAAAGAGAAGUGAAGGGCUGCAACAAUUUAAUUUUCUAUGGUUGGUUUUAUUUAUUUUGUUGCUCCCAAUUUAAAUAUAUUUAACUAAUUUUCUUAUAUUAAGAUUAAAGAUGAAAUCCUAUUUAAUGAAAUAAUUAUUUUUAUAUUCAAUUGAUUCCCUACAUAUGUGCUUUAAUACUUAUGAUUCUUGUUUCAAAUGAUUAGUUAGAUGUUAUUAAAUUAUUUCACCAAUUCGAUCAUGCAUUAUUGAUUGUUAGAAUUAAUAUUUGAUUAAAUCUAUACUUGGAUCUAUAAAACUUAUAUAUGAUUAUCUUUGAUUCUGAGUUUUUCAUUAAAUUGUUUACACAGAGUGCUUAGGAAGAUUUUGACUCUUUGUUAUUCAAUAUGUUUACAUACGAUGCUUAGAUAUCAUACUAUUAAGCAGAAAACGAAUCUACACAAGAUUAAUCUUAAUUGGUCUUAUUUGUUUUAUUCAUGAGACGACAUAGAUUGAUUUCGAGUUGUCACUCUAAAAUUGAGGAUUAAUUAACAAUUAGAUAAUUACUAGUUGAAUAGUGGUGGAUUAUGAAACUUUGGUAAUUUUUGUCUUAUUGAAUUCUCAUUUGCUUUAAUUGUUUUCUUAUUUUAAUUAGUUUUAUUUCUCUUAAAAACUCAAUUUGCUCAACUAGGUUAGGAUUAAUAUUAAUUUUAGAUUUAAAUUAGACUUUUCAAUUUAUAACAAUCACAGUGGGUUCGACCUCGUUAUCACUAUUGUAUUUCUAGAUUCGUGCACUUGUGACUAUAUUAACGUUUUUCACAACAGUAUUCGAAGACCACAUUGAGCUUUGACUAAUCCAUAUUUGAGCCGGGUAGGACCACUAGAGUGGUAAAUCUCUCCCAAUAAGUAUUUAACGCAACUGCAUUCCCAAGUUUCGAACCGAGAACCUUUGUUAAGAUAGAAUAUCUCCAUGCUAGAUAAUCUACGCGCUUAUUGGUUUCAUCUUUUUAUCUCUUACAGUUCUGCUAUGCAUGCUCACCGAGGGAAUGAUUGAUUGAGACAUUCAAUUUGAUAUUUAAAAGUCUAACCAAAGAGUAUUUUGAGCUUGACUUUUACCUUAACGAACCAUUUUCAUAGAUUCAUAAGUUUGUCCUUAUUACAUACAUAUGAAUCUUUUACUACAACGUCCAAGUUUGUUCAACCAUUUAGGUACAAUAUAAUAUGGAAAAAAUAAUAAUCUUAUUCAAAUAACCAUACACUUAAGAUUUUAUAUGAAAAUAACUCAAUUAAUUUAUUGGUCAGAAAUUUUAUUUAUUACAAAUAAAAAGUAAGCUUUAAAAAGCAUAGAUCCAUAAUACAAAUUAUUUACUGCUUUGGUUAAUGCUUCCAAUGCUGGAGGCCUCCCAUUAUAGAUUUAAACAACGAGAACUUUAACCAGCAGCUGUGUUUACUUAAAAUGAACAAGAAGGUUACUCACAUGAGUAAAGAUGAAGAGAAAGCCGAGGUUUACUAGGGACAACAACAAGUGGGAUUUUUCUAGGCAUUGUCAGUCCAAAUCUGUCCUCCAUGUCCAAAUCCUCAUUCUUCAUAUCACCAGGUAAUUUCCAUUCAAAACCAUAUAAAAGAUUUGCCAAAGUUGACUGAACAACCUUAAGCCCUAGACCAUAACCCGGGCAUAUCCUCCUCCCAGAUCCAAAUGGCAGCAGUUGAAAAUCAUGUCCUUUAACAUCAAUAUUUUUACCGAUGAAUCUGUGAGGCCUAAAUUCAUUAGGCUUUUCCCACAUGGUUGGAUCUCUUCCUAUUGCCCAUACAUUAACAACCACACGAGUGUUUCUUAGAAUAUCAUAGCCAGCAACUCUGCAAUCAUCUCUAGCAACCCGAGGAAGAAGCAAUGGUGCCACAGGGUGGAGACGCAUCGUUUCUUUAACAAUUGCUUCUAUAUAUGGAAGGUUAACAAUGUCCUUUUCUUCUACCCAUCUGUCUUUCCCAAUCACUCUAUCUAGUUCUUCAGUCGCCUUUUGAAUAGCUUCUGGAUUUUUCAAGAGCUCUGACAUUGCCCAUUCCACGCUGAUUGCCGAUGUGUCAGUUCCAGCAGUUAAUAGAUCCUACGAAUCAAAAUGAAAAAAGAAUUAUGAUGAUACAGAUUUCCAAUACAGAAGACACCUUGAUAGUUGCAUUAUUUGGUGAUGUUUAAAUUACUCUGUGGGGAAACUAUUGCCUCAAUCAUUUAAAAACCAAAUUAUUUUCUGUUUUAUUGCACAUAUCAAUUUAGUACGUUAUACUUAAAAGAGUUAAUUUCCAUUAAUCACUAGAUAAAUUGGUAGAUUUUAAUUUAUCCCCAAGCUGUUAAAAACAUCAAUGUAGCCCUCAUUUAUCAGUACACGAGAAUGAAAUUCUUUCUCGAUCCUCUUGGUUCUCAAUAGUAAACCAUGAGAAAGGGUUAUUAUUUUCAAAAGAUUUGGAAAAUAAAUUGAAAUAUGUCAUACUUGAAAACUACUAUUUAGUUUUUUUAAAAAAGUACACGAAUUAAAUUCAAAUUUAUGAAUACGUUACUACUUCACGAGUUUUUACUAGUACACCGAACUUCAAAUUUACCUGGAUUAGUGCCUUUAUAUGUUCUCUUUCAAGCUUAACUUCAAGAGAAGGAUCAUCCGCAAGUUGCAUAAGAACAUCAACCAUAUCAUGAACCCCAUAAUCCUUAACUGAUUUUCUCCUCUCAUGGUGCUCAUCUAAAAUACCCUCGUAAAAUUUAUCAAGCUUCUUGCUCACAUCCUUCAUUCUCUUAACAUGCCCUUGUAAAUCAAAAGAAGCAAGCCAUGGAAUUGAGUCCCCAAUAUCCAAAAUACCAAUAAGCAAGAACAAUUCUUCAAUCAUUUCCGUGAAGUCUUUUGGAGUCACAGUAUUUUUUUCAGCUUCGUCCGUAUACCUUUUCCCCAACACCAUCCGACAAAUCGAAGUAAGAUUGAGUGUGUAGAGACGAUCUUUCAGAUGAACAGGUGUGGAAGCUGAUUUGAACAACUCCGAGAGGAAAGCAUUUCUUUCUUCUACCCUUAUGUACUCAAACUGAUCCAAGCGUUUUGCACUGAGAAGUUCCAUUAGGCAGAUUUUGCGAGCCUGGCGCCAAUAUGGGCCAUAGGGUGCGGUUGACAUUGCUGAGUAAUUGUAAGUUGUGUACUUCCCAGCAAGAAGAGCUGGCCUUGAAGCAAAGCUAAUGUCAUGAGUCUUGAGCAGAAGCUCUGCUACUUCAGCUGAUGAGCCUACAACAACCGGGGAGAGGCCGAAUUUUAGGUGCAUAAGGGGGCCGUAUUUUUGGGAGAGAGAGUGGAUGGAGACGUGAGGGAGAGGGCCGAUGAGGUUCAGGUUUCCGAUCAAUGGCCAUGGCCUUGGACCCGGUGGCAAGUUUAGUUUACGGGAAAAUUGGCGGUGAAACAAGAAGAGGACGAUGGGGAGGAAGAAGAGGAUUGAGUAAAAUAUAGCUGAGUUUGAAGGACCAGUCAUAGGAUUUUCCAUUAUUUUGGAUAAACUGUAAAAGGUGGUGACGAUGAUUUGAUUAUUGUGUCUGUGAAAGUGGAAGUGAAAGAGGUAUUUAUAAUGAUAUAAACAAGGAAGAGUAAAAUAAUCCCAUUCCAUUGUAGAUUUGAAAAGCAUAAGCAAGGGAUAGUUUGGUACUUUUAUUAAAGAAUAAUUUAUUUUUUCAAUUCUAACUUUUUUUUUUGAAAGAGAAAGUAAAGCUUUCAUUAAGAAUCAAUAGCGAGUAACAACAAAAUCUCAUCUGGGUAAUUUCCCAGCCAAACAGCAGAACUUACAUACUCUAAAGCUUUCUUUGCUAGCCCAUGAGCAAUACGAUUGAAAGAUCUUGAAACAUGCUGGAUUUGCACCCUACCUAGCCUCUUUAAGCUAUCUUGAAUUGUGGCUAUCUUCCAGAAGAUUUCCGUUCUGCUUCCUUUUCUGUUACAAGCAAGAUCAACCACCUCUUUUGAAUCUGACUCUAUGAUCAUUGGCAGAAAAUUUGUAUUUUGAGCCACCUGGAUGCCAAAAUUGAUUGCCUCUGCUUCCAUGCAGUCGACAUCCCCUUUGUAAAUGGUAUUCUGAACAGCUGCUGCUACAACCUUUGCUCUCGAGUCUCUGAUAACCACUCCGAGGCUUGCUGUCUGAUUUGAGGGUCUGAUGGCAGCAUCCACAUUCACCUUAUACCACCCAUUUGGAGGAGGUAGCCAUGUUUGUUGGUUGUUGCUCUGGUUCUGUGAAACAAUUUGGGUAGCUGGGAUUUUAAUCCUUCUGUAUGACUCUACAACUGCUGCAGCCCUUCCCACUGAUAUUUGAGCAUCUUCUUCUUUCCCUUUGAAAAUGAAUAGAUUUCUAGAAGACCAAAUUGACCAGCAUGUAGCAAUAAUCAGUUCCAUGUCCUUCAUACUCGCAAUUUUCCCCAUCUCCUGGAGGGUGCUUAAUAAAUCCUGUUGAGCCAACAUCUUCAUGUUCUGGUGAAAAUCAGUCAAUUUCCAGACCUUGUUGGCAUACUUGCAUCCAAUUAAGGAAUGAAAACCAUCUUCCUUCUCCUUACUACAUUUGCCACACAUUGGUUCCUUUAUGGCCUUUCUUUUCCAGAGGUUAUAGGCUGUUGGAAGCAUAUUCUGAGCUGCUCUCCACAUGAAAAUUUUAAUCUUUUCCGGGAUCUCCAUUGACCAAAUAAUCUUCCAAUGAGUUUUUGAUAAAUCUGAGCUGCUGGCCAAAUCUGGGGAUUUCAGUAUUAGAGAUAACUGAUACCCACUCUUAACAGAAUAAUUACCAUGCUUGUCAAAAUGCCAUAUCAAUUGAUCCAAUUGAGGAGAACUUGGAAGAAUGAUUCUUUUUAUUCUUGCUACAUCCUCUUCUGAAAAAUUAUGAGAAAUCACAUCUUCCUUCCAGGUUUGGUUGCUGAUCAGAUUAGCUACCACAGAAUUUGGGUGUAAUGUCUGGAUGGACAGAGGCUUUAGAUUUUCAGGCCUUGGAAUCCAGUUACUCUUAUAAACAUACACUUGCUCUCCGUUGCCGAUCCUCCAUCUUGAGCCUUUGUGAAUAAUCUGCCUGCCCCAAAGAAUGCUUCUCCACACAAAAGAUGGAUUUGCACCUAACUUUGCAUCCAUAAAACUGGAAUUCUUAAAGUACUUAGCCUUCAACACCCGAGCCAUCAAAGCCUCUAGAUUUUGAAUAAGUCUCCAGCCUUGCUUUGCAAUUAAGGCUUGAUUAAAGCAUGAGAAAUCUCAAAAUCCCAGCCCUCCUCUUAUCUUGGCUUGGCAUAGUCUCCCCCAUUUUGCCCAGUGAAUGCCUCUGUGCUUUCCUGCGGAACUCCACCAGAAUUUUGCUACAGCUUUUUGAAUGUCAUCGCAAAUGCUUUGAGGUAUUUUAAAUACACUCAUAACAUAUGCCGACACCGCUUGAGCCACAACAUUUAUGAGCACUUCUUUUCCCCCACAAGAAAAAAAUUUGCUUUCCCAACUGGUUAACUUAUUAAGCACCCUUAGCUUGGCAUAGUUAAAAAAAUUGGUCUUUUUUCUUCCCACCAUAGAUGGCAAUCCCAGGUACCUCUCAUGUCUCGAAACAACGUUCAAGUUAAAAAUGCUUCCUAUUUCAUCCAUUUGGCUCUGCUUUGUGUUGGUGCUGAAAAAUAUUGAAGACUUCUCAAAGUUGAAUAUCUGUCCCGAAGCAGCAGCAUACAUUUCAAAGAUCUUCUUUAGGUGCCUGCAGUCUACACUGGAAGCCCUUGAGAAAACCAAGCUGUCGUCUGCAAAAAGGAGAUGAGAAAUAGACAAAUUUCUACUGAACUUCAGCCCCUGGAUCGGCUUUUGUUUUUCAGCCUGCAUGAGUAAAUUCGAGAACACCUCUGCACAAAUGAUGAAUAAAUAUGGUGAUAAUGGGCAGCCUUGUCUUAAACCUCUUUGAGGAUAGAUUAAACCUUUCACCUCCCCAUUAAUCAAAACUGAAAAGCUUGCUGUGGAUAUACAGUUCAUGAUCAAGUUCACCCAAUUUGCCGAGAAGCCUAGCUGCUGCAUUGUGGUUUUCAAGAAAUUCCACUCAAUUCUAUCAUAGGCUUUGCUAAUGUCUAGUUUGAGCGCUACCAACCCAUAUUUUUUACCCCUACUUUGCCUAAUUUUGUUUAGGCAUUCAUACUCGAUUAUUACAUUAUUCGUAAUUAGCCUAUUCGGGAUAAAAGCGCUUUGAGUUGGAGAGAUAAUAGUAUCCAAAAUUUGCUUUAACCUAUUUGCCAAGGUUUUUGCCACAAUCCUAUAAAUAACAUUACAAAGGCUAAUUGUCCGGAAAUCAGUUACUUUCCUAGGAUUUUGUAAUUUUGGAAUCAAGGCAAUGUAAGUAUGAUUUAAAUGAGCGAUACUACCUCCCUCAUUUAGGAUGUGCAGGCAGGUAGUGGUUACACCUUCCUUGACUGAGCUCCAGUGCUUAUGAUAAAAGGCUGCUGGGAGACCAUCCGGGCCUGGAGCUUUGGUGGGGCACAUCUGAGCAAGAGCCUCUGCUACUUCCUCGGCAGUGAACUGUUGAUCCAGAAAGCAAUUCGUUUCUUCCGUUACUCGCUUUGGUAGUUCUGCUACGGCUGUCUCCAGCUGAGUUUGGGAUGGAUUCGUUGUGCUGAAAAUGUUUGCAAAAUAAUCACACAACAAUCUUUCCACUUCUUCUGCUUCCUCUUUCCAUAAUCCAUCUUCAUCCUCCAGCCCCAUUAUCUUAUUUUUUCUUUUCCUCGCCGAUGCCUUAGCAUGAAAAAAUUUAGUAUUUCUAUCCCCUUCUCUCAGCCAAUCCGCCCUCGAUCUCUGCUUCCAGAAGAUUUCUUCGUCAAUUAGAAUAUUAUCAAUCUGUCUUUCUAUGUUUUUGACUUCUAAUCCGCUGUCAUAAUGGCCAUAGUUCUGUCUGAUUUCCUUUAACCUCUCCUUCAGCUGCUUCAGCCUUUUUUGUCUGCCCUUGAACUCCUCGUUACUCCAUAGCUUGAGUUCAGCUAGUGACUCCUUUGACUUCCUUUGAAACAGAUCAACAGGAUUUCCCCUGUCCCAACAGCUUGAUUCCUUCCACUCUCGCUUAACUAUUUCUCUACAUUUCUCAUAUGGGCUCCACAUAUCUUCAUAAUGAACUCUGCGGAAAGUUCUUCUGGAAUACCUCAAACCACUUCCUUUUUCCAGCACUUCCAUAAGAAUUGGGUUGUGAUCGGAGCUCCAAGUCACUAGAUUCAUUGCUGCUUUCUCCUGGAAAUAAUGGCCCCAACUCCUACUGCAAAGAAAUCUAUCUAAUCUCUCUUCAAUCAACCCAACACCAAACCUCCUAUUUGACCAAGUAAAGGGAUACCCCGUAAAUCCCAUAUCUAUGAAAUCACAUUCCCUAACCGCUUCUCUAAAGUCAGCCACCGAGUUAACUUGUUUCUCAUUUCCUCCUAGCUUUUCAUUUAAAUUUAAGACUUCAUUAAAGUCCCCAAAACAGAGCCAGGGUAAAGAAGAUAACGUUGCUAACCUUCUCAACAAUUUCCAAGUAUGCUAUUUUUGAGCUGCUUCUGGAUGACCAUAUAUACCCGUACAUCUCCAAUAACUCCCCUUCUCACUAUAGACCACAGCAUCAAUAUGAUGACAACUGAAGGAUUUUAUUUCCACUGUUAUCUCCGAAUUCCAUAGCAUUGCCAAACCUCCCCCCAUUCCUUCUCUACUAACUGCAAAAUAGUUUGCAAAAUGCAGCUCGUAACUCCUUUUUCUCAUUUGCUCCCUCGUCAUUUUCGUCUCGCAAAAAAACACAAUUUGGGGCUUGUGCUCAUGGACUACCUCCUGAGCUUCUCGGAACGUCCGGUCGCUCCCCAAUCCCCGAACGUUCCAGCUUAAGAUCCUCAUGGCUAUCGGCGGGGCUGGUUUUCAGCCACCGCCGAUAAUUCAUUGACACUACAUGCAACUGCUUCCAUCUCUUCAUCCUCUAGCCUCAAUGUUGUAGCUUCUGUAAUGUUUAGUUGAGCUCGUUGAUGACAGCCAUAUUUUUUUGGGGUACUUCCUUUGAGCUUCUUUGAGUUUGGGCUUUCCAAAUUUAGCCAGCUAACCGACCUUUUUCCUUUUGUUUGCCCAUCUUUUGUUCCCCAUUUUCCUUCAUAAUUUCGUGCAUGAUACUUCCAUUUCCGUCUUUUGGGCCUAAGCUUUUCAUCCUUUAGCCCAUUGUUGCCAUCUUCGGCCUCUGACUCUAUUUGAAAGGAAAGCCCACUUGCCUUUUGUUUUUGCUCUAAACUUUCUAAUUUCCAGAUUUUUCCUUCCACUUCCCGCUCACCAUUUCCCGCUUCUUCUUCCACUAAAUUCAUGUCUUGUUGUAAUUUCUUUCCCGCCCAAUUUGUCCCUUUCCCAUGAACUGCAAUUUUGUCAGCCUGCUGCUCUGACCCUAAAUAGCUAUUCUCUAGCUCUCUGAGAUUUGCUGCUGCUUGUAUUAAAUGAUCAGCAUCACCUCCUUUACCCAUUUUUUUCUCUAAAGAAGGAUUAUCCAUACCCGAAUCCGUUUGGUUCUGGAUCAGAUUCCCUUCCACUUCUGCCCCUUUCUCCUCUACCUCACUUUGUCUCCUUUAUUUGAUCUGUAGUAGUUCAUUGUUUACUCCAGCUGAAUUUUUGGCAUUGAAUUGGCUGGAUUCUGUGCUCCAUCGAUCCUGUCCUCUACUUUGUCUUAGCCGUUUUGCCAUGGUUGUUGCUUUUAGCCAUGGGCCAUAAGCUAGCUGAUCUUUGGGUUGAGACUUAUAAUGACCACACUCUCUAUAUUGAUGACCGAUACGCCCACAGCAGAAGCAAAAAUCAGGGAGCCUUUCAUACUGCACCAGCAUUGGGAUCUCUUCCUUCUUCGUUUUUCUCAUCCCAUUUCUCCAUCUGUUCCAGCACAACAAUCUUCUUUAAUGGCUUUGUGAUGUCCACCGAAAUCCUCAUUCGUAAGAAUUUUCCUAUACAUUCCCCCGCUGCAUCCGUUUCAACUUCCUCUACUCUUCCGAUUGCUCCACCCAAUUCUGCAGCUGUCUCUUUUUCCAUACACAUAAUUGGAACAUCAUGUAGUUGUACCCAAAAGGAUACAUGAUUGAAGUUUAGUUUCUUAAUGUCACCAAUUCCAGAAGGUUCGAUAAGCACGAUAAGUGCUCUGUCAAAAUGCCAUGGUCCACCCGCUAGAAUUCUUCUUUUAUCUUCAUUUGAUCCAAACUUGAACAUGAAAAUAUUAUCACCCAGUCCUUCAAUUUUGACUUCCUUGCCUGUUCUCCACACCUGUUGCAUUGCUACUCUCAAUCUUUCUACUUUGACUUCUCUUGAUAAGAAUAUUUUUCCGACCAAACAGCCUGUUAAUAUCUUUUCCCCUUUUGUUUUCAUUCUGCUCCUAAACGUGACUUUCCCUUCUUCUUCUUCACUUAGCUGGAUGGCUCUGCACCGCUUAAUUAACUCAUCUGUAUCCAUUUGCUUUAGCCGCCAGUAAUUAAGAACUGCAGCCAGUGGUUGGACACCAAACUCCUUAAAACUUUCUACCCAAAUCCUGCAACUCCUGCUUCUAAAAUUAAUCUAGAAUACUUCCUCUGAGAGCAUUAAAACCAACGAAAGUCAAAGACAGUUCAAAGAGCCACACUCAUGACGAGAGACUAAAGUUAGAGUCAUGACAACUCUGUUUACCACUCCCAUCCUUUUGUUUUCAGAGAAAACUUCAGGAGGGAUCUUUUUUCCCUACUCAAUUUUAAUGUUUUUGGUUGGUGGUCGUCAGCUCAUUAUAUAUAGAUGUAUAAAAUUUAAAUGACAUAAACGUGCUCUACAGAGUUAGGCAUGCACGUGUAACACAACAUUUGUUACUACUUAUUAGACGACCUUAGUCCAGAUACUAAGCACUUCCUAUUUCAGCUUCUAUUUUAGGCUGGAGUAAAAUUUGAAAUGCUCUUGUAUUUAUUCUUUCAAAAACUUUUGACCCCACACUCAAUAUUUUUGUUAUAAUUCGGUUCGCUUACGAAUUCGGGUUGGUAUGAAAUAAUAUAACAAGUAAGAACUGUGAAAGUUGUAAUAUAGUUGCUUGGUUGUUGAGAAAAAAAAAGAAGAAAAUAAAGGGAAAAAUGAAAUUGAAAUAAAAGAGUUGUAUUAUUAUUACACGCAACUGUACAUAAGCGAAUUGUAUUUAUAUUGUAUCAAUGUAACUAACUUGUUAAUAACAAAUUUAUUAGCUUACCAAUAGUAGAAUGACAAAUGUAUAAUCUUAAACAAACUUGAGCCAUGCUGACUAACUAACUAAUGAAACUUGCUGAGCUUUAGCUGCUAAGCAUGCUAGAACCUUCUAAAUCAUGUUGGAACCUUCACAUCCCCCCUCAAGUACAACAUUGGAAACAAUGUUGAGCUUGGAAUGAAGAUAGUAAAAUGGCUGAAAGGGUAAGGCUUUAGUGAAAAUAUUUGUUGUCUGAUCAAGGCUGGGAAUGUUUGAAUGUGCAAGCUUUUGUUAGCUACCUUUUCUCGUAAAAAAUGAACAUCAAAUUCAAUGUGUUUAGUUUGAGAGUGAAAUUUAGGAUAGCUGGCUAGAGUUAUGGUACUUUGGUUAAAAUACCAAAUAACAUGGAUAAAUGUAGGAGAAACAACAAGUUUAGUAAGGAUCUAAUCUAGAGCACUUUUGAGGUUGCUAUAGCAAGGGCACUAUACUCAGACUCAUUGUUGGACCUGGAAACUACAGGCCGCUUUUUAGAACACCAUGAGACCAGAUUACGUCCUAAAUAGACAUAAUAGCUAGCAACUAAUCUUUCAUUAUCUUUAUCAAUUGCCCAAUCUGCAUUUGAAAAACAUUCAAGAUAAAGUGAACCUGAUAAGUAGAAAAAAAGAUCAAGAUUAAUGGUGCCUUUAAAAUAUCUCAACACCCUUUUGCAAGCUUGCCAAUGGACCUCAAUAGGUGUACUAAGGAAUUGACCGAGCUUAUUAACAAAAAAUGCAAUUUCCGGUCUUAUGAGACUGACAUUUUAAAGAGCACCAAUUGUGCUUCUGUACAAGCUAACAUCUGAGAAUGAAACACCAUUAGUUUGAGUUAAAGGAUUCCCAGAAGCCAUAGGAGUAGCACAUGGUAUGCUAUCUUACAUAUUGACUUUGGCAAGUAGAUUAGCUACAUAUUUGGAUUAAGAAAGAAGCAAGCCAGAAGUAUUUUGAGUAACUUGAAUACCCAAUAAAUAAUGAAGAUCUCCCAAAUCCUUCAAGGCAAAUGUUGAUUUCAAAUCAGUGAUAAUUUGAACAAUUAAAGAAUGACUGGAUCCAGAUAAUAUCAUCAACAUAUAACAGGAGAAGAGUGAGCUGGUUAGCUUGUCUUUUAAAGAAUUGGAGUUAGAGAAACCCCACUGAGUAGUUAAAGCUAGUUUAAAUCUUUCAAACCAGGUUCUUAGGCUUGUUUAAGCCCAUUUCAAGCUUUAUGAAGCUUACACACAUGAGUAGGUCGAGCUAGAUCGACAAAACCUUCUCUUUGUUGUGUGUAUCAUAUUCAUGACCCCUUAUUCUCUUUUGAAACUGCAAAAUGAUUCAAGGUGGCAUGUUAAAUGAAACAUUCUUAUAAAGAGCUCCACUAUUAGUUGGAUUUUAUUUCUACUCCUUAUAUUAGCAUGUGAACAUUAAGUCAUUAACAUAAUAUAGAACUUAGAACUUUCGUUAUGCAAUAUUGGGCCCUUGAGAGUUUCAGAGUUUUCAACCCUUAACAAUUUGUGUUUUAGAGUAGGAUAACCUGAUGAGUAAAAAUGAUUAAUAUUUUUCUCAAAAGAUGUAUAGUGAGAGUAAUUUUUUUUUUUUUUUUUUGGGUAGGUUUUUCCAGAUUGGCUCUAUUUUUCUUGCUCUGCAUGAUGCAAGUGAUGUUUUUAUGGAAGUUGCCAAAGUUUUUAAGUAUUUUGAGAAUGAACUUGGAGCAACUGUGAUCUUUGGAUUAUUUGCAAUAUCUCGGGUCAUUCUACAAUUAAUAUUCUUUUCCUUUCGGGUCAUCAAAUGUACAAGGUUUGCCUGCAUGAUAAAUGAUGUGAUGCCACUUUAUGUGGUCGUCUAGCAGUUUCUUUGGCUUAUUUGCUUUUGUGAUUUGCAUUUUCUAGCUAUGAUCUUUAGUUCUACUUGAACUUAUCAGAGAUAUGUUCAUUUACUACAUGUUCAAUACAAUGUUGCUGAUGCUCUUUGUGUUCCAGAUAUACUGGUGGGUUCUCAUAUCCUCAAUGAUCUGGAGACGGCUGAAAAGUGGUAAACUUAGGGAAGACAUAAGAUCUGGUAAGCAUUUUGAUGCUUCCAUUAUCAGUUUGAAUCAUUUAAUGUCAUCAAUUAUUCCCAGUAGUCUUUCUCAAAUAAUCAUUGUUUUUGCUUUGAUAGUCUGCAGGAAACUUGAUCCCAUAUAAUAGUUUUGCUAGAACUUAAUUAGUUAUAUUCAUAUGUGCCUAAGCCUUAGCCAUAUUUAAGUUCUUGUUUCAAAACCCAGAUAUAAUGAACUUAUAAUUGGAUAUUAAUUGUAAAUCAAACAAAAGGGUAAAGGAAUUAAUUAGUUAUAUUCACAUAUGCCUAAGCCUUGAAGGAAAGUUAACUGCCUUUAUGGGUACCCUUUUGGUUCCACAUUUUAUUGCAGCAAAGAAUUAAUUUAAGUUACAUCAGAAACUUGGAGUUUUACUUCAAUAGAUAAUUAUUUAUAAUGAUACUAUUGGCUAUAGUCAAUUGGUGUUGCACCUGCAGGUUGAGAGAAAUUGCUGGACUUAAGAGUUUUGCUGGGUAUUUGUUGAGAAUGAGAGUUUAUCUACUGGAAUUUCACUGAGAAUAUGGGAGGUGUUUUGCACUACAAGAUUUGACGGCUUCAUAGCUUGUAAAAUUUAAAGCAUUUGCUCGAGUUAACUUUUUUUUAUUACUUUGGAUGUGUUAAUUUUUGGAUACAAGUGUUUUUGGAUGAUAUUAUUAAUAUAAAGC
RNAcentral lists this long non-coding RNA (28843 nucleotides) under Citrus maxima (pomelo). Its description in RNAcentral is "long non-coding RNA (CMAX_LNC000304)". Lineage: Eukaryota; Viridiplantae; Streptophyta; Magnoliopsida; Sapindales; Rutaceae. The record is from RNAcentral.